RNAcentral lists this long non-coding RNA (293 nucleotides) under Bos indicus x Bos taurus (hybrid cattle). RNAcentral's name for it is "lncRNA (ENSBIXG00000021867.1)". The record is from RNAcentral. Lineage: Eukaryota; Metazoa; Chordata; Mammalia; Artiodactyla; Bovidae.
AAGGAAGAUGGGGGAAAAGAAGUCUGGCUGCUAAAGACACUUGAUGGAGGAAGAUUACUCAUGUUCAGGCUGGAAGAUGGAUGGGAGAGAAAAACUGGAGCCCAGAAGGAUGUUUAGGGGAAAGAAGGUGAGAUCAUAAAAGAAGCAAGAUUAUGUUUUAAGGCCACAGGGAUACAGAAAAGGCUGACUUCUUAUCUCACGGAUUCUAGGUAGUCAAGGGUCUUCCAUCAUCCAUUCUUUCAUUGUUUGGUCGCUAAGCCGUGUCUGACUCUUUGUGAACCUGUGGACUGUAG